CUACAGAGUGGGUCUAGGUCCAGGUACAGUCUCAGAACCACACUGCAAAACUGGCUUAGUCAGGUAGCUGCUGUAUCUGCUGCUUCCACUGUGAACUCAAAAACCACAUUGCCUGUGCUGCAGGCCGGAAAGCUGCUGAACCAGGAAGCUGUGCUGAUGCUGCUGACUGCCCCUGAGGUUAGAGAUUGACUAGACAUAGUGCCACUGUCAUCCCUGCUGGAGAAGGUCCGAAGCACCUCCACCUCUGUGCUUCCAGAGGGGCACUGUGGUGGCCACUUAAAAUGCUCAGGCUAUACCAUGCACUAGAGCAUCUACCUGGGCAAGGGAUAUGCUGUAUGACACUCUCCUGAUGCUGGGCAUGGCUGUGAGCCAAAGCACCCAGGCAGCCCUGCCAUCAGAAGGGUAAACCACGGACACCUGAUGCCUUCCUGAAGGAAGAGCACUACGCCUGCCAAACCAUCAAGCGUUGAUGCUCCAGCGCCUUCUACCCGUGGUUCUCCAGCCUCAGCAGAAGAGAGAGAAAUUGAUGACCCUGUCGUUGUAGCAUCCCCAUCACCCAGCAAUUAAUUUUAGUUCAAUGCUUCAAACGCUCUUCAGGCGCAGUGUGCGUUCAGCUGUGUCAGCUAAUGCAAAUGGGGGAUCUCAGAAGUCUUAAUGAAGUAACUAUCCCUGAACACUGGGAUCAAUACUCAGCAUCCAGCUGUCAAAUCAACACCAAGCCGCCUCCUGGAGCAGAUUGUUAAGCUGAUGCGAGUCUGGGCUCUGCCUCACCACUUGUCUCAGAGACAGAGUCUUGCUCUGUCACCUAGGCUGGAGUGCAGUGGUGCCAUCACAGCUCACUGCAGCCUCGACCUCCCCGUGCUCAAGUGAUCCUCACACCUCAGCCUCCCGAGUAGCCGCGAUCACAAGUUAAACAAACACAGUUCUUUACAUCAAUGCUUCCGUCCCUGGCCAUCUGGUCUCCUGUCCCCUCCAGACCCAAAACCAUGGGCUGGGCUGCAGCAAAAUGAGGGUGUACUCAGUGCACUGAGGCCCAUGUACCAUGAGAGAUGGUGA
This 1056-nucleotide long non-coding RNA is filed under the name Homo sapiens (human). Its description in RNAcentral is "long intergenic non-protein coding RNA 426". Lineage: Eukaryota; Metazoa; Chordata; Mammalia; Primates; Hominidae. The record is from RNAcentral.